GAAUAGUGAUGCAACCUGCUUCACUAUUCUUGUUAAGGAUUGCUUUAGCUAUUCUGGGUCUCUUAUUUUUCCAGAUGAAUUUAAUGACUGCUUUUUCUAGUUCUAUGAGAAAUGCCAUUGGGAUUUUGAUUGGAAUUACAUUAAACCUGUAUAGUGCUUUUGGUAGUAUGAUCAUUUUGACAAUAUUAAUUAAUUCUGCCUAUCCAAGAGCAAGGUAGCUCUUUCCAUCUUUUAAGAUCUUCUUUGUUGUUGUUUUUUUGUUUGUUUGUUUUGUUUUGUUUUGUUUUUGUUUGUUUGUUUGUUUUAGGAUUCUGUAGUUUUCAUUGUGAGGUCUUUCAUCUCUUUCAUUAGGUUGAUUCCCAAGUUGUUGUUUGUUUUUGUUUUUGUUUUGAGGCUAUUGUAAAUGGGGCAGUUUUCCUCAUUUCCCUUUCAGAGGAUUUGUCACUGAUAUACAGAAAUGCCUUUGAUUUAUGGGUGUUGGUUUUAUAUCCUGGUACUUUGCUGAAUUCAUUUACUAGUUCUAGAAGUUUUAUGGUGGAAUUUUUUGGGUCUUCUAGGUAUAGAAUCAUAUCAUUAGGAAAUAGUGAUUAUUUGAGUUCUUCUUUUCCUAUCCAUAUCCCUUUAAUUUAUUUUGUCUGUCUAAUUGCUCUGGCCAGUGUUUCAAGAACUAUGUUAAAUAGAAGUGGUGAAAGAGGGCAUCCCUGUCUUGUUCCAAUUUUUAGAGGGAAUGCUUUCAAUUUUUUUCCAUUUAGAAUGCUGUUGGCCUGGGGCUUAGCAUAGAUAGCUUCUACAAUGUUGAAAUAUAUUCCUAUUAUCCCUAGUUUUUCUAGUGUUUUGAACAUGAAUGGGUGCUGUAUUUUGUUAAAUGCUUUUUCUGUGUCUAUUGAGAAGAUGAUUCUUAUUUUUAAGUCUAUUGAUGUGAUGAAUUACAUUUAUUGAUUUCCAUAUGUUGACCCAACCUUGCAUCCCUAGGAUGAAUCCCACUUGAUUGUGGUACACUAUCUUUUGGAUAUGUUUUUGUAUUCGGUUGGUCAGAAUUUUAUUGAGAAUUUUUGCAUUUAUGUUCAUUAGAGAUAUUGGUCUGAAGUUUUUUUUUUCUUUGAUGUGUCUUUGUCUGGCUUAGGAAUCAGGAUGAUAUUGGCCUCAUAGAAUGAGUUUGGAAGUGCUCCCUCUUUUUCUAUUUCCUGAAAUAAAUUGAAGAGUAUUGGUAUUAGUUCUUCUUUAAAGGUCUUGUAGAACUCGG
This 1243-nucleotide long non-coding RNA is filed under the name Marmota monax (woodchuck). Lineage: Eukaryota; Metazoa; Chordata; Mammalia; Rodentia; Sciuridae. The record is from RNAcentral.